Molecule: ribosomal RNA, 403 nt
Filed under: Brucella melitensis
Lineage: Bacteria; Pseudomonadati; Pseudomonadota; Alphaproteobacteria; Hyphomicrobiales; Brucellaceae
Also listed under: 1 other name
Description: partial 16S ribosomal RNA
Rfam family: Bacterial small subunit ribosomal RNA
Source: RNAcentral
UGGGGAAUAUUGGACAAUGGGCGCAAGCCUGAUCCAGCAAUGCCGCGUGAGUGAUGAAGGCCUUAGGGUUGUAAAGCUCUUUUACCCGUGAUGAUAAUGACAGUAGCGGGAGAAUAAGCCCCGGCUAACUCCGUGCCAGCAGCCGCGGUAAUACGGAGGGGGCUAGCGUUGUUCGGAAUUACUGGGCGUAAAGCGCACGUAGGCGGCUUUGUAAGUUAGAGGUGAAAGCCUGGAGCUCAACUCCAGAACUGCCUUUAAGACUGCAUCGCUUGAAUCCAGGAGAGGUGAGUGGAAUUCCGAGUGUAGAGGUGAAAUUCGUAGAUAUUCGGAAGAACACCAGUGGCGAAGGCGGCUCACUGGACUGGUAUUGACGCUGAGGUGCGAAAGCGUGGGGAGCAAACAG